RNAcentral lists this ribosomal RNA (439 nucleotides) under uncultured bacterium. Its description in RNAcentral is "partial 16S ribosomal RNA". It matches the Rfam family "Bacterial small subunit ribosomal RNA", at positions 339 to 795 of the family's 1533-position model. The record is from RNAcentral.
CUACGGGACGCUCCAGUGAGGAAUAUUGCGCAAUGGGGGAAACCCUGACGCAGCAACGCCGCGUGGAGGAUGACGCAUUUCGGUGUGUAAACUCCUUUUAUAUGUCAAGAAAAUGACGGUAGCAUAUGAAUAAGCACCGGCUAACUCAGUGCCAGCAGCCGCGGUAAUACGGAGGGUGCAAGCGUUACUCGGAAUCACUGGGCGUAAAGGACGCGUAGGCGGGUUGGAAAGUCAGGUGUGAAAUCCUACAGCUUAACUGUAGAACUGCACUUGAAACUUCUAAUCUAGAGUAUGGGAGGGGGAGAUGGAAUUAGUGGUGUAGGGGUAAAAUCCGUAGAUAUCACUAGGAAUACCUAAAGCGAAGGCGAUCUCCUGGAACAUUACUGACGCUAAGGCGUGAAAGCGUGGGGAGCAAACAGGAUUAGAUACCCCUGUAGUC